RNAcentral lists this ribosomal RNA (756 nucleotides) under uncultured bacterium. Its description in RNAcentral is "bacterial SSU rRNA". It matches the Rfam family "Bacterial small subunit ribosomal RNA", at positions 8 to 796 of the family's 1533-position model. The record is from RNAcentral.
AGAGUUUGAUCCUGGCUCAGAAUCAACGCUGGCGGCGCGCUUAACACAUGCAAGUCGAACGAGAAAGUGGAGCAAUCCAUGAGUAAAGUGGCGUACGGGUGAGUAACACGUGGGUAAUCUACCUUUUAGUGGGGAAUAACGAUGGGAAACCGUCGCUAAUACCGCAUAAUCCCGAGAGGGGAAAGCAGCAAUGCGCUGAAAGAGGAGCCCGCGGCCGAUUAGCUAGUUGGUGAGGUAACGGCUCACCAAGGCAAAGAUCGGUAGCCGGCCUGAGAGGGCACACGGCCACACUGGCACUGAAACACGGGCCAGACUCCUACGGGAGGCAGCAGUGGGGAAUCUUGCACAAUGGGGGCAACCCUGAUGCAGCGACGCCGCGUGAGCGAUGAAGCCCUUCGGGGUGUAAAGCUCUUUCGGCAGGGAAGAUUAUGACGGUACCUGCAGAAGCAGCUGCGGCUAACUACGUGCCAGCAGCCGCGGUAAUACGUAGGCAGCGAGCGUUGUUCGGAGUUACUGGGCGUAAAGGGUGUGUAGGCGGUUCUUUAAGUUUGGUGUGAAAUCUCCCGGCUCAACCGGGAGGGUGCGCCGAAUACUGAGGGACUAGAGUGCGGGAGAGGAAAGUGGAAUUCCUGGUGUAGCGGUGAAAUGCGUAGAUAUCAGGAGGAACACCGGUGGUGUAGACGGCUUUCUGGACCGUAACUGACGCUGAGACACGAAAGCGUGGGUAGCAAACAGGAUUAGAUACCCUAGUAGUCC